Aedes albopictus (Asian tiger mosquito) is the source of this 640-nucleotide long non-coding RNA. RefSeq lists it as uncharacterized. NCBI's taxonomy places the organism in Eukaryota, Metazoa, Arthropoda, Insecta, Diptera, Culicidae. The transcript is spliced from 3 exons. The record is from RefSeq and is a predicted model, not a curated record.
GUCCAAUGUGGUAAAAGUAAGGUGAAGAGAUCAUUUCACGUACUACACAAGGCUUUGCAUGUAUUAAUGCACAGUGUUUAUUGUAACAUAGCAACCCCUAAUUUCCCCUUCUAGUUUGACAACAUCUGACGUCAUACAAUUUGUUGUUGAAUUUUCCUGCACGCUAACCAUUUUUGCACCAAAACUGUUACUGAGAUAGGUACACAAAUCUGUACCAUAUUAAUAUUCUGUUGAAAGUCUCUCACCAUUCGUUUACUCCUUCCCUACAAUACAGAUUUGAAUCAAAAUCAAUUAAAUGAUAAAAUUAUGGUUAUUUUGAAUUAUAAGAACUUAUUUUAGUUUUGAUUUUGGUGAGUCGUUUUGGAACGAACGAACACAUUUUUGCGAUAAUGAUUUUUAGCGUGCCGUGCAUUACCAGCUCUGCCGUAGUUUCUAGGGGUAACCAAGGUGUUGUUAUCCAAACACCACAAGCAAGAAAACUUUUCACGGAAGUGGAUGGUGAUGUUCCAGGUUGAGAAAUUUCAAGCAGGAUCAAAUAAGGGACCCCUGAAUAACAUACUUUGACUCAUAUUGAAAUGGCUGGCUUCUUAUGUUUCGGGUUCAAAGGUGAUACCAAAGAGUGCAAGUGCAUAAGAAGUGC